RNAcentral lists this long non-coding RNA (312 nucleotides) under Equus caballus (horse). RNAcentral describes it as "lncRNA (ENSECAG00000053845.1)". Lineage: Eukaryota; Metazoa; Chordata; Mammalia; Perissodactyla; Equidae. The record is from RNAcentral.
CCCAGAUUUAUGUCCAUUAAUGACAUGGCUGAUACUAAUGAGGGGAGAAGAAGGGAGACAGAGGCAAAAAGUGAGAGUGGUUACAGGUACUUCAUGCCCACCUCCAAUGCAACUUGGGCCCAGGCUCUAGUUUGGACUCCAAGGACAGCAAAGUCUUGCUAGAUGCAAGAAUUCAGAAAGCUUGGAUAUCAGGCACACCCUGGUGCUAACCAUCACGUGUUAAUCUCACUUUGGAGGAAGAGAAAGACCUCAGGGACAGAGCCUUCUGCAGGCAACAUUGUGUGCCUAGAAUUAAAGAACAUCAUGUUGUUU